RNAcentral lists this unclassified non-coding RNA (986 nucleotides) under Hevea brasiliensis (rubber tree). The record is from RNAcentral. Lineage: Eukaryota; Viridiplantae; Streptophyta; Magnoliopsida; Malpighiales; Euphorbiaceae.
CAAGUUUCCUUUGCACUAGUUCCAAAUUUCAAUUUAUUACUCGGAAUUUUCAGAGAUGUGGACAAGCGAAAUUUUAUGCAAAAUUCUUAAAAUCCAGCACAACUAGAUCACUGAUGAUCACAUCGACUUGAAUAUGCACCAAAGUUCCCAGGAAAAGGUACCCGAGUUGGGAAAUUUGUGAGAUGAGAGAGAUAAAUAAGGUUCCUCAAUGAGUUAGAAGUUCGGCUGUAGAACUUUUAAACGUUUUACCGAGAAGGACGAGUACUUCGUAUGAAUCUUCUGGCAGCGGAUUUUAUUGUAAAGAAUACAAUGGAUAGAAGCAUGAACUGCUCAAAACUUUCCAAUUUAUCAGAAUUUGUUCAACACGUUCCAAUUAUUCAUACAUAUCCAUUAUCAUAUCACUUGCCAAGAACACAAAGCACAAAGAAAUUCGCCGCAAAAUUUAUCAUAAAGGAAAUAAAUUCCCAAUUAUUAAAAGAAGAAAGAAAAAAGGAAAUGGAUACUCUGCAUAUUUGAUACUUACAACUCGAUGUUAGUACUGUUGAUUUCGAAUGGUAUAGAGUAGUUGUUGCCAAGGCCCCAUACUCGACUUCGGAAGAUGACCGAGAUACUGUUAAUUGCUUUUUAGCUAUCCAACAAAUAAGAGAAGAAUCAAGAAAGAUGCAGUAGCCUGUAAUAGACUUGCGAGUGUCAAGACAUCAAACCCAAUCUGAGUUACUAAAAGCUUUUAAUUGUAACUCAGAAUUAGCUGAAAAGAAUAAAGCAGUAUCAGGAGAACCUUUUAUACAACGAUUUUUAUAAUGUUAUAAACACUUUAUUUUUUAAGUUUAUAAUAUUCUCCUAAUAAUUGAUUUAUAUUAUAUAUUUUAGGUAUAAAAUUAUUAAUUUAAAGUUAAAUUUUAUUUAUUUCAUAUACGUGGAUCAAUUAUAUAUAGGAGUAGCAAAAAAAAGUAAUAAAAAAUUUAUGUCACGACCCAACCUAUGGG